This 484-nucleotide ribosomal RNA is filed under the name uncultured bacterium. RNAcentral describes it as "partial 16S ribosomal RNA". It matches the Rfam family "Bacterial small subunit ribosomal RNA", at positions 30 to 507 of the family's 1533-position model. The record is from RNAcentral.
AUUGAACGCUGGCGGCAGGCCUAACACAUGCAAGUCGAGCGGAUGAAGGGAGCUUGCUCCUGGAUUCAGCGGCGGACGGGUGAGUAAUGCCUAGGAAUCUGCCUGGUAGUGGGGGAUAACGUCCGGAAACGGGCGCUAAUACCGCAUACGUCCUGAGGGAGAAAGUGGGGGAUCUUCGGACCUCACGCUAUUAGAUGAGCCUAGGUCGGAUUAGCUAGUUGGUGGGGUAAAGGCCUACCAAGGCGACGUUCCGUAACUGGUCUGAGAGGAUGAUCAGUCACACUGGAACUGAGACACGGUCCAGACUCCUACGGGAGGCAGCAGUGGGGAAUAUUGGACAAUGGGCGAAAGCCUGAUCCAGCCAUGCCGCGUGUGUGAAGAAGGUCUUCGGAUUGUAAAGCACUUUAAGUUGGGAGGAAGGGCAGUAAGUUAAUACCUUGCUGUUUUGACGUUACCAACAGAAUAAGCACCGGCUAACUUCGUG